Non-coding RNA from Schizosaccharomyces pombe (fission yeast), 202 nucleotides. Lineage: Eukaryota; Fungi; Ascomycota; Schizosaccharomycetes; Schizosaccharomycetales; Schizosaccharomycetaceae. The record is from the annotation of a GenBank genome assembly.
CACCAACGAUGGCCAAGAAAAAGUUGACAGUAGCAUUAAAGUAAUUUUUAGGACGAACGAUCAGAGACCACCGAGUCCAAAUAGCACCAGUGGCACACAAGGCGGCAUAUUGACGAAUAGAAAGGUAUUCUGGGGAACGGGCAUAAUCACCAAUACCAGAAAGGACUAAAGUCCAUUUCAUGGCAGGAGCCCAAAAAUGAAC